AUCACUUCUCGGCCUUUUGGCUAAGAUCAAGUGUAGUAUUUUGUCCUUUCAGACCAACUAGUAUUUGGUCUGUAACUGUUGUUACAAUUAUUAUUUGGUCUGUAUUGGAACAAUUAAGAUUUCUCAAUAGAUGAAGGCAGAAACAGGGAAUACUUGUUUCUCUGAUAUUCUAGCUAUA
Molecule: small nuclear RNA, 178 nt
Filed under: Myotis davidii
Lineage: Eukaryota; Metazoa; Chordata; Mammalia; Chiroptera; Vespertilionidae
Description: U2 spliceosomal RNA
Rfam family: U2 spliceosomal RNA
About the family: U2 is a small nuclear RNA (snRNA) component of the spliceosome (involved in pre-mRNA splicing).
Source: Rfam by way of RNAcentral